RNAcentral lists this ribosomal RNA (460 nucleotides) under uncultured bacterium. Its description in RNAcentral is "partial 16S ribosomal RNA". It matches the Rfam family "Bacterial small subunit ribosomal RNA", at positions 338 to 795 of the family's 1533-position model. The record is from RNAcentral.
CCUACGGGAGGCAGCAGUGAGGAAUAUUGGUCAAUGGGCGCGAGCCUGAACCAGCCAAGUCGCGUGAGGGAGGACGGCACUACGGGUUGUAAACCUCUUUUGCCGGGGAGCAACGGGCGCCACGUGUGGCGUCACUGAGAGUACCCGGAGAAAAAGCAUCGGCUAACACCGUGCCAGCAGCCGCGGUAAUACGGAGGAUGCGAGCGUUAUCCGGUUUUACUGGGUUUAAAGGGUGAGUAGGCGGAUCGUUAAGUCAGUGGUCAAAUUGAGGGGCUCAAGCCCUUCCCGCCAUUGAAACUGGCGUUCUUGAGUGGAAGAGAAGUAUGCGGAAUGCGUGGUGUAGCGGUGAAAUGCAUAGAUAUCACGCAGAACCCCGAUUGCGAAGGCAGCAUGCCGGCUUCCGACUGACGCUGAAGCACGAAAGCGUGGGGAUCGAACAGGAUUAGAUACCCCGGUAGUC